This 302-nucleotide ribosomal RNA is filed under the name uncultured bacterium. Its description in RNAcentral is "partial 16S ribosomal RNA". It matches the Rfam family "Bacterial small subunit ribosomal RNA", at positions 508 to 807 of the family's 1533-position model. The record is from RNAcentral.
GCAGUCGCCGCGGUAAUACGAAGGGGGCUAGCGUUGCUCGGAAUGACUGGGCGUAAAGGGCGCGUAGGCGGCGAUCAAAGUCAGGCGUGAAAUUCCUGGGCUCAACCUGGGGGCUGCGCUUGAUACUUGGUUGCUUGAGUGGGGAAGAGGGUCGUGGAAUUCCCAGUGUAGAGGUGAAAUUCGUAGAUAUUGGGAAGAACACCGGUGGCGAAGGCGGCGACCUGGUCCUUGACUGACGCUGAGGCGCGAAAGCGUGGAGAGCAAACAGGAUUAGAUACCCCAGUAGUCCCUGUCUCUUAUAC